This 400-nucleotide ribosomal RNA is filed under the name uncultured bacterium. RNAcentral's name for it is "bacterial SSU rRNA". It matches the Rfam family "Bacterial small subunit ribosomal RNA", at positions 355 to 772 of the family's 1533-position model. The record is from RNAcentral.
UGGGGAAUAUUGGACAAUGGGCGCAAGCCUGAUCCAGCCAUGCCGCGUGAGUGAUGAAGGCCUUAGGGUUGUAAAGCUCUUUUGGCGGGGACGAUAAUGACGGUACCCGCAGAAUAAGCCCCGGCUAACUUCGUGCCAGCAGCCGCGGUAAUACGAAGGGGGCUAGCGUUGUUCGGAAUCACUGGGCGUAAAGCGCACGUAGGCGGACCUUCAAGUCAGGGGUGAAAUCCCGGGGCUCAACCUCGGAACUGCCUUUGAUACUGUUGGUCUCGAGUCCGGAAGAGGUGGGUGGAAUUCCUAGUGUAGAGGUGAAAUUCGUAGAUAUUAGGAAGAACACCGGUGGCGAAGGCGGCCCACUGGUCCGGUACUGACGCUGAGGUGCGAAAGCGUGGGGAGCAAA